AAUCAUACAGCUUUACUUAUUAACUGUUUCUCCGGGAUAUAUAGAGAAGAUUAGCAUAGCCAUUGUGCAAGGAUGAGACACAAAAAUCAAGAAAUGGUCCAAAAAGAA
RNAcentral lists this small nuclear RNA (108 nucleotides) under Nicotiana attenuata. Lineage: Eukaryota; Viridiplantae; Streptophyta; Magnoliopsida; Solanales; Solanaceae. The record is from RNAcentral.